UCCCCUGUCCCUAAUCUGGGUCCUUUUCGUGCCGAUCAGUAAAUCAAAUAGGUAUUUUGAAGAUGUGCUAUGCCGGAUGGAGAAAUACGCCUAGUGAACUCCACGCACCAAAUGCUCGCACAAGAGACAUCCAUCCAACUGAAAACUGUAAAGAAAUGCGUGAAUCUUUCCAAAGGAAGAAGGAAUAAAGAGAAAAGAGCCUGGAGUGGUGCCUCCUUGGGAGGCAGCCACAGGAGGAUCUCUGAGUUCAAGGCCUGGUGGUCUGUCUGCAUAAUGACUACAGGGUUACAGGACUACAUAGAGAGACACUGUCUCAAAAAAAAUCAUAAGAAAGAAAAGAGAAAAUCAAACAUCAAAAGACUACAUAAAACCAGCCACAUUUUUCACACACACCAAGACUUAAAAUGCAUUUGUUCUUCAUGUUACAUUCUUUUUCUUCCAUAAUCUCCACCUCAAAACCUCUGUAUCUGACUUCCAACCCAGCCGGCUGAUAGGAUUUCUGUGCCUUUACAUAGAAAGAAAACCACUCUGCUGCAAUG
This is a long non-coding RNA of Mesocricetus auratus (golden hamster), 539 nucleotides long. RefSeq lists it as uncharacterized. The record is from RefSeq and is a predicted model, not a curated record. The transcript is spliced from 2 exons. Lineage: Eukaryota; Metazoa; Chordata; Mammalia; Rodentia; Cricetidae.